This is a non-coding RNA of Callorhinus ursinus (northern fur seal), 412 nucleotides long. The record is from the annotation of a RefSeq genome assembly. Lineage: Eukaryota; Metazoa; Chordata; Mammalia; Carnivora; Otariidae.
CAUGCAAAGUAGGCUUCGCGGUAAACAGCACGGAGAAGAACCACAGAUGCACCAUGUCCCGGCUUCUCUGCCUUGUGCUGCCCUUCCUCUAUGGCUCCUGCAGGACUGAAAUUAUACAGUCUUCCAACCUAGCUGCCAUGAUCGGGACAGAUGGGACGUUUCAAUGCCAGUAUAAUAUUCUCGUUGGGAAUUAUGACUCUGUGUACUGGUAUCUGCAAAGAGCUGACCAAAGGCUCACCAAUAUCAACCAUAUAUCUCAAGGCACCAUGGAAUCGGAGCAUUACCUGUUGUCUGUGAACAGAGAGCUGUCCUCCAGUACCUUAACCAUUAAGCAUGUGCAGCCAAGAGACAAAGCCAUUUACUACUGUGCUUUCUGGCACCAUGAUACAGACUGUGCAUCACACUGAACAAA